UGGUGACCAUAGCAGAGUUGAAACACACGUUCCCAUCCCGAACACGUAAGUGAAACGCUCUCACGCCGAUGGUACUGCGGCCCGUCCGUGGGAGAGUAGGUAGUUGCCAG
Molecule: ribosomal RNA, 110 nt
Filed under: chicken gut metagenome
Source: RNAcentral